UACGUAGGGGGCGAGCGUUGUCCGAAGUUACUGGGCGUAAAGCGCGCGUAGGCGGUUUCUUAAGUCUGGGGUGAAAGGUUCAGCGCUCAACGCGAGCAGUGCCUUGGAUACUGGGAGACUUGAGUCUGGGAGGGGGCAGUGGAAUUCCUGGUGUAGCGGUGAAAUGCGUAGAUAUCAGGAGGAACACCGGUGGCGAAGGCGGCUGCCUGGCCUAAGACUGACGCUGAGGUGCGAAAGCGUGGGGAGCGAACGGG
Molecule: ribosomal RNA, 254 nt
Filed under: uncultured bacterium
Lineage: Bacteria
Description: partial 16S ribosomal RNA
Rfam family: Bacterial small subunit ribosomal RNA
Source: RNAcentral